GAUGAAGAACGUAGCGAAAUGCGAUACGUAGUGUGAAUUGCAGAAUUCAGUGAAUCAUCGAAUCUUUGAACGCACAUUGCACCUCUCGGUAUUCCGGGAGGUAUGCCUGUUCGAGCGUCAUUUGUACCCUCAAGCUCUGCUUGGUGUUGGGUGUUUGUUCCGCCUCUGUGUGUGAACUCGCCUCAAAACAAUUGGCAGCCGGCGUACUUGUUUCGGAGCGCAGCACAUUUUGCGAUCCAGAUCAACGUACAGCGGCAUCCGAGAAGCCUUAUUUAACGCUCUUGACCUCGGAUCAGGUAGGGAUACCCGCUGAACUUAAGCAUAUCAAUAAGCGGAGGA
This 339-nucleotide unclassified non-coding RNA is filed under the name soil metagenome. Its description in RNAcentral is "partial contains 5.8S ribosomal RNA, internal transcribed spacer 2, and large subunit ribosomal RNA". The stretch from base 1 to 120 matches the Rfam family "5.8S ribosomal RNA", at positions 35 to 154 of the family's 154-position model. The record is from RNAcentral.